UGAUACCUACGGGAGGCAGCAGUGAGGAAUAUUGGUCAAUGGGCUUACGCCUGAACCAGCCACGUCGCGUUAGGGAAGACUGCCCUAUGGGUUGUAAACCUCUUUUGUCAGGGAGCAAUUGGCGCUACGUGUAGCGUUAUCGAGAGUACCUGAAGAAAAAGCAUCGGCUAACUCCGUGCCAGCAGCCGCGGUAAUACGGAGGAUGCGAGCGUUAUCCGGAUUUAUUGGGCGUAAAGCGAGUGCAGGCGGGUCAAUAAGUAUGAUGUGGAAGCCUUCGG
Molecule: ribosomal RNA, 278 nt
Filed under: uncultured bacterium
Lineage: Bacteria
Description: partial 16S ribosomal RNA
Rfam family: Bacterial small subunit ribosomal RNA
Source: RNAcentral